Molecule: ribosomal RNA, 253 nt
Filed under: uncultured bacterium
Lineage: Bacteria
Description: partial 16S ribosomal RNA
Rfam family: Bacterial small subunit ribosomal RNA
Source: RNAcentral
ACGUAGGGGGCAAGCGUUGUCCGGAUUUAUUGGGCGUAAAGAGCUCGUAGGCGGUUGGGUAAGUCAGAUGUGAAACCUCCAGGCUCAACCUGGAGACGCCAUCUGAUACUGCCCUGACUGGAGUUCGGUAGAGGAGUGUGGAAUUCCUGGUGUAGCGGUGAAAUGCGCAGAUAUCAGGAGGAACACCAACGGCGAAGGCAGCACUCUGGGCCGAUACUGACGCUGAGGAGCGAAAGCAUGGGGAGCGAACAGG